This 73-nucleotide transfer RNA is filed under the name Clostridiales bacterium. RNAcentral describes it as "tRNA-Ala". It matches the Rfam family "tRNA". Rfam says of the family: Transfer RNA (tRNA) molecules are approximately 80 nucleotides in length. Their secondary structure includes four short double-helical elements and three loops (D, anti-codon, and T loops). The record is from RNAcentral. Lineage: Bacteria; Bacillati; Bacillota; Clostridia; Eubacteriales.
GGGGAAUUAGCUCAGCUGGUAGAGCAUAACAUUUGCAAUGUUAGGGUCAGGGAUUCGAAUUCCCUAUUCUCCA